RNAcentral lists this transfer RNA (68 nucleotides) under Marmota monax (woodchuck). RNAcentral's name for it is "tRNA.Ala". Lineage: Eukaryota; Metazoa; Chordata; Mammalia; Rodentia; Sciuridae. The record is from RNAcentral.
GGAUUGUGGUUCAGCGGUAAAAUGCUUGCCUAGCAUGCGUGGGGCCCUGGGUUUGAUCCUCAGCACCA